ACGGAUCUAGAACAUAUCUGAAGAAAAUAGAGUAAUCUCAAAAGCUAGAGUUUCAGAGGAACCCAAACGGUGAGAAAGGCUUGGAUAGAUUUAAGUAGGAGGAGUCGAAGCCAGGCUCGAAACGGACAUGGCUUGCCGGAGCAAAGCCAGAGAUGACCAUAAAACUUGAAUCAAGCAAGGUCUAGAUGAAGCUUCUUCGUGGUCAGAUCAUGAAACUUCAGCAACCAAUCGUGUAUGAACCAUGAAAGGCUGGUAGGUGGUGAGACCACUAUGGAUUCAUGCCAAGAGGUGGCCGGAGAAGGUGAAGAAAACUCAUCGGAGCAGAGGGGAAGGGGGAAGGUUCUAUAGGGAACCAGAGAUAUA
This 363-nucleotide long non-coding RNA is filed under the name Nicotiana benthamiana. RNAcentral describes it as "long non-coding RNA (NBEN_LNC014381)". Lineage: Eukaryota; Viridiplantae; Streptophyta; Magnoliopsida; Solanales; Solanaceae. The record is from RNAcentral.